Long non-coding RNA from Oncorhynchus keta (chum salmon), 225 nucleotides. RefSeq lists it as uncharacterized. Lineage: Eukaryota; Metazoa; Chordata; Actinopteri; Salmoniformes; Salmonidae. The record is from RefSeq and is a predicted model, not a curated record. The transcript is spliced from 3 exons.
CACACACUAUGUCCCCACUAGACACAGGUACCAACACACACCAUGUCCCCACUAGACACAGGUACCAACACACACCACGUCCCCACUAGACACAGGUACCAACACACACCACGUCCCCACUAGACACAGGUACCAACACGCACCACGUCCCCACUAGACACAGGUACCAACACACACCACGUCCCCACUAGACACAGGUACCAACACACACCACGUCCCCACUAG